UAAUUUAGGCUAAGAGUGGAUGCCUUGGGAGAUGAGGGCGAUGAAGGACGUGGCUAGGCUGCGAUAAGCCAGGGUGAGGCGCCGAGCAGCCGUUGACCCCUGGAUUUCCGAAUGGGGUAACCCGCCUCGCCUUAAAGCGAGGCACUCUUGCCAAAAGCAAGAGGGCGAACCCGGGGAAGUGAAACAUCUCAGUACCCGGAGGAAAAGAAACCAAAAUGAUGUUAGCUCUCAGCUACUCGUUUUGUAGCAAGUGGCUGAGAGCUGACUAGGUGAUUCCCUGAGUAGCGGCGAGCGAAAAGGGAACAGCCCAGGGUUGUGUAUUUAAGCUUAUUAGCUGAAUUUCCCUGGAAUGGGAAGCCAAAGAGAGUGAGAGCCUCGUAAGCGAAAAUAAGCUUAAAAAAGCAACCCUCCUGUUCUAAAUUCUUAGAACAGAGUGAGUACCCCGAGAAAAGAAAGCCUUGGGGGAAAAUAGCAGAACUCUCUGCUAAGGCUAAAUACCUCAUCUCACCGAUAGUGAAAAUAGUACCGCGAGGGAAAGGUGAAAAGCAGGCCGGUGAGGCCGGUGAAAUAGAACCUGAAACUCUUAGCCGACAAAGAGCUGGAGCCCAAGUUUAAACUGGGUGACAGCGUGCCUAUUGAAGAAUGAGCCGGCGAGUUCAGGUUAGCUGCAGGUUAAGGUCGUUCAAGACCGAAGCCAAAGGGAAACCGAAUAGUCUGAAAGGGCUAUUUUGUAGCUAGCCUGAGACCCGAAGCCAGACGAUCUACCCAUGGCCAGGAUGAAACCACGAUAAUCUCGUGGCGGAGGUCCGAACCCGUUGGCGUCGCAAAGCCAUGGGAGGAGCUGUGGGUAGCAGUGAAAAGCUUAUCGUGUCUGGGAAUAGCUGGUUCUCGCCGAAAUAGCUUUAGGGCUAGCGGAGGUAAAUUACUUUAGCGGAGGUAGAGCUCUAAUGGACUGGUGAAGGCCGAAAGGUCAGCUAGUCCGUUAAACUUCGAAUGCCGCUAAAGGUUCCCUCUAGUCAGUCUAUGGGGGAUAAGCUCCAUACGACAAAAGGGAAACAACCCAGACUACCAGCUAAGGUCCCUAAGUCCUAGCUAAGUGGAGAAGGCAGUGGUUUUUCUAAGACAGCUAGGAGGUUGGCUUAGAAGCAGCCAUCCUUUAAAGAGUGCGUAACAGCUCACUAGCAAAGAAAAACCGCACCGAAAAAUAAACGGGGCUAAGCUAGGCACCGAAGCUGUAGAGUUAAAGCAUUUUCAAAAAUGCUUUAACUGGUAGGCGAGCAUCUUCUGCGCGUUGAAGGUUUAUCCGUGAGGAAAGCUGGAGCGCAGAGGAGAGAGAAUGCCGGCAUGAGUAACCGCAAUCCUGAUGAGAUGUCAGGACGCCGAAAGGUCAAGGUUUCCUUGGCAAUGGAAAUCAGCCAAGGGUUAGGCAGGACCUAAGGUCUAGCCGAAAGGCGAAGCCGAUGGACAGCUGGUUAAUAUUCCAGCCCUACCUUGUUCUACCGAUGGGGUGACGAAGGAAAUAAGAAGGAGGGAGUUAUUGGUUUCUCCUUCUCUUUUUUAGAUGGGGCAAAGAGGAAAAUCCCUUUGCCAAAAAACCAUCGAAAAAGAGAAAAUUCUGAUUUUUCAGAAAAUUCCUUCGAAGAGCCUUCCAGGAAAAACCUCUAAGGGCUAAAGAACAAGGUACCUGUACCGGAAAACUGACACAGGUGACCGAGGCGAGUAGCCUAAGGCGAACGAGUAAGGCCUCCUCAAGGAACUCGGCAAAAAAGCGGGCGUAACUUCGGGAUAAGCCCUCCCUGUGGUGUGCUUUGCACAACUACAGGGCGCAGCGAACGAUUCCCUGGCGACUGUUUAUCAAAAACACAGCUCCCUGCUUAACUCGUAAGAGGAAGUAUAGGGGGUGACGCCUGACCAAUGCCGGGAUGUUAAAGAUUCGGGGUCAUUCUAUUAAAUUAACUUUUAAUAGAAUGGCUCACGGAUCUAAGCACCGGUCAAUGUCGGCCCUAACCCUGAGGGUCCAAAGGUAGCGCAAUUCCUUUCCGGGUAAGUUCCGGAGCGCAUGAAAGGCGUAACGACUGGGGAACUGUCUCGAGGAGGUGCUCGGUGAAAAUGCAAUCCUCGUGAAGAUGCGAGGUACUGGCGGCGGGACGGAAAGACCCUAGGAGCUUUACUGGACUUACUCAUUGGUUUUGGUUUGUAGAUGCACAGCGUAGUGGGGAGGCGAUGAAAUUCUGCUUUAGGGCAGAAUGGAGCCGUCAAUGGAACACCCACCAUCUACAAGCUAAAACCUAAUUCUGAGAAGAACUCAGAAGACAGUGAGUGAGGGCCAGUUUCACUGGGGCGGUGGCCUCCUAAAAGGUAACGGAGGCGUUCAAAGGUCAGCUUACUCUGGAUGGAAACCAGAGCGAAAGUAUAAAGGCACAAGCUGGCUUGACUGCAAGGCUGACAAGCCGCGCAGAGGCGAAAGCCGGACUUAGCGACCCGACGGCUCUUUAGAGAAAGGCCGGAGACAACGGAUAAAAGUUACCCUAGGGAUAACAGGCUGGUUGGGCCCGAGAGUCCACAUCGACGGCCCAGCUCGGCACCUCGAUGUCGGCUCACCCUAGCGUGGGGCUGAACAAGGUCCCAAGCGUCGGGCUGUUCGCCCGUUAAAAGGGUACGUUAGCUGGGUUCAGACCGUCGUGAGACAGGUCGGUCCAUAUCUGCCGUCAGCGUUUAGAAACCUGAGAGGAGCUGGCCCUAGUACGAGAGGACCGGGCUGGAGGAGCCGCUGGCGUUCCGGUUGUCCUGCCAAGGGCAUGGCCGGGUAACUAUGCUCCUAAGGGAUAAGCGCUGAAAGCAUCUAAGUGCGAAGCCCACCUCAAGAUUAGGUUUCUUUAUUAGGCUCCCAGUAGACUACUGGGUUGAUAGGCCUCUGCUGUAAGCUCGGCAACGAGUUAAGGUAAGAGGUACUAAUAGCCGAAAU
This 2965-nucleotide ribosomal RNA is filed under the name Candidatus Parcubacteria bacterium. RNAcentral describes it as "23S ribosomal RNA". It matches the Rfam family "Bacterial large subunit ribosomal RNA". Lineage: Bacteria; Candidatus Parcubacteria. The record is from RNAcentral.